RNAcentral lists this ribosomal RNA (279 nucleotides) under uncultured bacterium. Its description in RNAcentral is "partial 16S ribosomal RNA". It matches the Rfam family "Bacterial small subunit ribosomal RNA", at positions 506 to 784 of the family's 1533-position model. The record is from RNAcentral.
UGCCAGCCGCCGCGGUAACACGGGGGGUGCAAGCGUUAUUCGGAAUUAUUGGGCGUAAAGCGCACGCAGGCGGUAUGGUCAGUCAGAUGUGAAAGCCCGGGGCUCAACCCCGGAACUGCCUCUAAUACUGCUAGUCUUGAGUUCGAGAGAGGUGAGUGGAAUUCCUGGUGUAGAGGUGAAAUUCGUAGAUAUUCGGAGGAACACCAGUGGCGAAGGCGGCUUUCUGGACCGAUACUGACACUGAGACGCGAAAGCGUGGGGAGCAAACAGGAUUAGAUA